This 429-nucleotide ribosomal RNA is filed under the name Acanthamoeba genotype T4. Its description in RNAcentral is "SSU rRNA". It matches the Rfam family "Eukaryotic small subunit ribosomal RNA", at positions 779 to 1101 of the family's 1831-position model. The record is from RNAcentral. Lineage: Eukaryota; Discosea; Longamoebia; Acanthamoebidae.
GGCAGAUCCAUUUUCUGCCACCGAAUACAUUAGCAUGGGAUAAUGGAAUAGGACCCUGUCCUCCUAUUUUCAGUUGGUUUUGGCAGCGCGAGGACUAGGGUAAUGAUUAAUAGGGAUAGUUGGGGGCAUUAAUAUUUAAUUGUCAGAGGUGAAAUUCUUGGAUUUAUGAAAGAUUAACUUCUGCGAAAGCAUCUGCCAAGGAUGUUUUCAUUAAUCAAGAACGAAAGUUAGGGGAUCGAAGACGAUCAGAUACCGUCGUAGUCUUAACCAUAAACGAUGCCGACCAGCGAUUAGGAGACGUUGAAUACAAAACACCACCAUCGGCGCGGUCGUCCUUGGCGUCUGUCCCUUUCAACGGGGGCAGGCGCGAGGGCGGUUUAGCCCGGUGGCACCGGUGAAUGACUCCCCUAGCAGCUUGUGAGAAAGAGA